AGGACUCGUAGUGAGUCAGUCAGAGUACAGUAAGAUAAAACCUUACAGCUGGCCCACCUCCUGUAUUGGCGGUGUGGCUGUUAGAGAAUGCUGUUAGAGAAUGCAGUACUGCGUUUGUUUGUGUUUUCUCUUAUGGCAGAAGUAGCCCUGGCUGCUACUGUCCUCUCAUAGACGGGCGGCAGGGUAGCCUAGUGGUUAGAGCGUUGGACUAGUGGACUAGGUUGCAAGUUCCAACCCCCGAGCUGACAUGGUACAAAUCUGUCGUUAUGCCCCUGAACAGGCAGUUAUGCCCCUGUUCCUAGGCCGUCAUUGAAAAUAAGAAUUUGUUCUUAACUGACUUGCCUAGUUAAAUAAAGGUAAAAUAAAAUAGUGGGGCCAUAGGGCCUUCUCCAUUUCCCAGCCACCAACCCAACCAGGCAGACAGAUGUCACCUUCAGCCUCCUCCCCCGGCCCUCCCUCUGAGCUCUGGCAGCCUGCACCCCCAGACAGGUAACUGUCUGGGUUAUUCAUAUCGUCUUCCUGGUCUCCUGAUACCUCUCUUGACCUUUGUUCCUCAAUCUUUCUCCACUAUAUCUCGCUCUCUUUCUGUUUCUUGCUCUCUCUCACAGUUUGUUCUAGUAAAUCUGUCCUCCUUCCUCUCUCUAGGUGAAAACAACAUCCCAGCCUCUGUCCUCCAUAUCCAGCUGUUAGGCACCAGGACAGUUCAGGUGAAUAACAUCCCAGCCUCUGUCCUCCAUAUCCAGCUGUUAGGCACCAGGACAGUUCAGGUGAAUAACAUCCCAGCCUCUGUCCUCCAUAUCCAGCUGUUAGGCACCAGGUCAGUUCAGGUGAAUAACAUCCCAGCCUCUGUCCUCCAUAUCCAGCUGUUAGGCACCAGGACAGUUCAGGUGAAUAACAUCCCAGCCUCUGUCCUCCAUAUCCAGCUGUUAGGCACCAGGUCAGUUCAGGUGAAUAACAUCCCAGCCUCUGUCCUCCAUAUCCAGCUGUUAGGCACCAGGUCAGUUCAGGUGAAUAACAUCCCAGCCUCUGUCCUCCAUAUCCAGCUGUUAGGCACCAGGACAGUUCAGGUGAAUAACAUCCCAGCCUCUGUCCUCCAUAUCCAGCUGUUAGGCACCAGGUCAGUUCAGGUGAAUAACAUCCCAGCCUCUGUCCUCCAUAUCCAGCUGUUAGGCACCAGGACAGUUCAGGUGAAUAACAUCCCAGCCUCUGUCCUCCAUAUCCAGCUGUUAGGCACCAGGUCAGUUCAGGUGAAUAACAUCCCAGCCUCUGUCCUCCAUAUCCAGCUGUUAGGCACCAGGUCAGUUCAGGUGAAUAACAUCCCAGCCUCUGUCCUCCAUAUCCAGCUGUUAGGCACCAGGACAGUUCAGGUGAAUAACAUCCCAGCCUCUGUCCUCCAUAUCCAGCUGUUAGGCACCAGGUCAGUUCAGGUGAAUAACAUCCCAGCCUCUGUCCUCCAUAUCCAGCUGUUAGGCACCAGGUCAGUUCAGGUGAAUAACAUCCCAGCCUCUGUCCUCCAUAUCCAGCUGUUAGGCACCAGGACAGUUCAGGUGAAUAACAUCCCAGCCUCUGUCCUCCAUAUCCAGCUGUUAGGCACCAGGUCAGUUCAGGUGAAUAACAUCCCAGCCUCUGUCCUCCAUAUCCAGCUGUUAGGCACCAGGACAGUUCAGGUGAAUAACAUCCCAGCCUCUGUCCUCCAUAUCCAGCUGUUAGGCACCAGGACAGUUCAGGUGAAUAACAUCCCAGCCUCUGUCCUCCAUAUCCAGCUGUUAGGCACCAGGACAGUUCAGGUGAAUAACAUCCCAGCCUCUUUCCUCCAUAUCCAGCUGUUAGGCACCAGGACAGUUCAGGUGAAUAACAUCCCAGCCUCUGUCCUCCAUAUCCAGCUGUUAGGCACCAGGACAGUUCAGGUGAAUAACAUCCCAGCCUCUGUCCUCCAUAUCCAGCUGUUAGGCACCAGGACAGUUCAGGUGUCAGCAGAAUGCACCGUGGGUUGUCACAGCGGAUAUUGUCAUGGUGUGACGCAAUGGCCGCCUCGACUGACCUCCAAACUCCUGUGUCAGCAUGACAACAGGGGAACAUGUCACACCGUGUGAUAUGUCCCGUGCCAAGACGAGGAGGACAGUGCUGGCCCAGCAAAGUUUUCCCGGAGCAGAACAGACAAUAAUAAACAGCACUUUGUCUUAUGAAAAAUGUUUUGUGCUUUUGUUGUUUGUCCAACUUUAAGUUAAAUCGCGUGAAACCUUGUCAAAACAGAUCCUAUCUGUGACAGGAAACCAUUAAGAGCCGUCAGCGAAUCUUAUCACUAUGGUGGCGCGUUGCUAGCGCUGACACAGCAUAUUUAUGUAUGUUGCGUGUUGUUUCUCUUUGUAAAACAUUUUGCCUUAGUGCAAUGGAGGUGGUUCUGAUCCACACUCGUGUGAUGAUGAGUAACCUUGCCUGAGACCUGAAAACCUGUUUUAGCUCCCAAAGCUAAUUCCUAGGCUUUAGCUCCUUGGGCUAACACAGUAUUACAGCAUGCAGGAGACCCAGGUUUCAAACCAGUAGUCUGUCACAUUUUGAGCUUGUGACGUUCCUUCUAACUCCUGACUCAGGCCAGAACAGUAUGAACAGAUCUCAGAGACACGGGAAAGCAUCCUCCCUCUAAGGACCCUAAUAGUCUCUGAUAGAGAGGGUGCCGAAAGAUAUACCAGCUGCCCUGUGACGAUCCAGGGCCCUUGACACGCUGAUGCCCCAGCGGCCAUCCGUCAGAGCAGGGACAGGGGACCGGUGACGGGCUGAGUGGGUCGCUGGGCCGGCCAUGCCCUGCCUCUACCGAGACUCAUUGGCAGUGAUGGAUCACCGGCUGGCUGGGGCAUUAAACAUUCCCUCCCUCUUUCCCUCUCCUUCCCUCCCUCUUUCCCUCUCCCCUUCCCUCUCUCCGCCAGCUGAUCCAGCACACAUCUUCCACCCCCUCUUCCUCCUCCACAGGGCCAGACGCUCUGCACACCAAGCAACCCCCACAGAUGCCUCCACAGACUUGGAUUAUUUCAUCAGCUGCCUGGUCCCCUCCCCACAUCUCCACAGCCACACAGCAACAUAGUCAGCAGGGUUAUAUAUGGAUGUGGAUGAGCUGGUGUGACAACCAGCCUGUUUGUCGUGUGUGGCAAGCAGCUAGAGAGGGAUGCUGAAAUGCCAGCGCAGGGGAAUUUAGAGAGCUAGAGUGGGAUGCUGAAAUGCCAGCGCAGGGGAAUUUAGAGAGCUAGAGUGGGAUGCUGAAAUGCCAGCGCAGGGGAAUUUAGAGAGCUAGAGUGGGAUGCUGAAAUGCCAGCGCAGGGGAAUUUAGAGAGCUAGAGAGGGAUGCUGAAAUGCCAGCGCAGGGGAAUUUAGAGAGCUAGAGUGGGAUGCUGAAAUGCCAGCGCAGGGGAAUUUCGAGAGCUAGAGAGGGAUGCUGAAAUGCCAGGCAGGGGAAUUUAGAGAGCUAGAGUGGGAUGCUGAAAUGCCAGCGCAGGGGAAUUUAGAGAGCUAGAGAGGGAUGCUGAAAUGCCAGGCAGGGGAAUUUAGAGAGCUAGAGAGGGAUGCUGAAAUGCCAGGCAGGGGAAUUUCAUCAGUGCUUUUUAUGGUGUUGGAUUGUAAACAGUACUGUACUGCAUGUGGUUUUCAGGAACGUGUAAAAUAUGUACUGUGUGGAUUCUUCAUAUUUGUAUAAUUCUUAAUCUGUUUUGUUCUUGUUUGUUAAGCAGUAUGAAUGUAAUAUAUUUUGGCCUUUUACUGGUAGGUAUUUUAGUGGUAAGCACUUACGUUACUGUCCAGGGUUAAAUUAAUCGAGCCAGGUCAAGAGAGCCCUGAUGUCACACCUGUACUUGACAGGAGUUACGGUGUGUCAAUAAAUUCAGACCCUUCCCGCUGUUUCGCACGCUAUUAUCUUAUUGAUUGCACAUUCUCGUCAGGACCUCAUGUGAAGGGGGCCCUGGAAAUCACCCAUAAAUUUGUCCAAGUGACCUUUAGGUAAUAAGUCAAUGCCUGGACAGGACUUCACCCCCUCCAGCCAAGCAGCUCCUACGCAGACUUCGGUCUUGGCAGAAAGCAGAUAAAAGCAGUUGUGUGUACUACACAACUCCACUCAAAACCUCCCUCUGAUUGCUUAGAAUUUAGAUUAAAGAAUCAAAUCGAAUAUAACUUUAUUGUCCACCCAAGGAUGCGACAAUGUUCCAAUGUUCCUUUAGCAAGGAAGCAAAUCAUUGAAAUUGUUCAUCAUUAUAGUGCAAUAGUCUCUAUUUGAGUUUGUCCAAUAAAGAAGCGUACUUUCAGUUUUAAGCUUUUCCAGGGUUUUAAGUGGAAAGUAGGGACAGAUCACUGCAGGGGAGGGAGCAGGGACAGAUCACUGCAGGGGAGGGAGCAG
Molecule: long non-coding RNA, 4378 nt
Organism: Oncorhynchus kisutch (coho salmon)
Lineage: Eukaryota; Metazoa; Chordata; Actinopteri; Salmoniformes; Salmonidae
Source: Ensembl